This 585-nucleotide ribosomal RNA is filed under the name uncultured fungus. RNAcentral's name for it is "eukaryotic LSU rRNA". The stretch from base 211 to 364 matches the Rfam family "5.8S ribosomal RNA". The record is from RNAcentral. Lineage: Eukaryota; Fungi.
AGUCGUAACAAGGUCUCCGUAGGUGAACCUGCGGAGGGAUCAUUACACAAAUAUGAAGGCGGGCUGGAACCUCUCGGGGUUACAGCCUUGCUGAAUUAUUCACCCUUGUCUUUUGCGUACUUCUUGUUUCCUUGGUGGGUUCGCCCACCACUAGGACAAACAUAAACCUUUUGUAAUUGCAAUCAGCGUCAGUAACAAAUUAAUAAUUACAACUUUCAACAACGGAUCUCUUGGUUCUGGCAUCGAUGAAGAACGCAGCGAAAUGCGAUAAGUAGUGUGAAUUGCAGAAUUCAGUGAAUCAUCGAAUCUUUGAACGCACAUUGCGCCCUUUGGUAUUCCAAAGGGCAUGCCUGUUCGAGCGUCAUUUGUACCCUCAAGCUUUGCUUGGUGUUGGGCGUCUUGUCUCUAGCUUUGCUGGAGACUCGCCUUAAAGUAAUUGGCAGCCGGCCUACUGGUUUCGGAGCGCAGCACAAGUCGCACUCUCUAUCAGCAAAGGUCUAGCAUCCAUUAAGCCUUUUUUUUCAACUUUUGACCUCGGAUCAGGUAGGGAUACCCGCUGAACUUAAGCAUAUCAAUAACCAGUCG